Molecule: ribosomal RNA, 551 nt
Filed under: uncultured bacterium
Lineage: Bacteria
Description: bacterial SSU rRNA
Rfam family: Bacterial small subunit ribosomal RNA
Source: RNAcentral
GUAGGGAAUCUUCCGCAAUGGACGCAAGUCUGACGGAGCAACGCCGCGUGAGUGAAGAAGGUUUUCGGAUCGUAAAACUCUGUUGUUAGAGAAGAACAAGUGCUAGAGUAACUGUUAGCGCCUUGACGGUAUCUAACCAGAAAGCCACGGCUAACUACGUGCCAGCAGCCGCGGUAAUACGUAGGUGGCAAGCGUUGUCCGGAUUUAUUGGGCGUAAAGCGAGCGCAGGCGGUUCCUUAAGUCUGAUGUGAAAGCCCCCGGCUCAACCGGGGAGGGUCAUUGGAAACUGGGGAACUUGAGUGCAGAAGAGGAGAGUGGAAUUCCAUGUGUAGCGGUGAAAUGCGUAGAUAUAUGGAGGAACACCAGUGGCGAAGGCGACUCUCUGGUCUGUAACUGACGCUGAGGCUCGAAAGCGUGGGUAGCAAACAGGAUUAGAUACCCUGGUAGUCCACGCCGUAAACGAUGAGUGCUAAGUGUUGGAGGGUUUCCGCCCUUCAGUGCUGCAGUUAACGCAUUAAGCACUCCGCCUGGGGAGUACGACCGCAAGGUUG